UAUACCAAGUUGGGAACUGUUGCAUUGUCGUGAAGAACUCGUGCCUUUUCCAUACCGAAAUGGCAUCCAAGCUCAAUAUCAUACGGAUUUUGGUGGUCUGCAUGAUGAUCAUUCCGUACAUAGCGCUGGUCAACGGGCAAGAUAGUCAAAUAAGAUAUUGUGAAACCCCUGCCGAUUGCGCAGCAGAACCUUGUCCCCCAGGUGUCGAGAAACUAUGUCACGCAGUCUUUAAUAUCCCUCCAAAAACAUGCCUGUGUAAGGUGUCGUAAUGACGAUCGUAUUGGUAUAUGCAUGGCAGCAACGAGGCAAAUGCAAAGUAUUUGAAAAAAACUUCGACUCUUCAAGUUUCCAAAUGAAUUAUUUCAAUCGCUUCCAUGCAUAUUCCUAAAUCUCCUACUCCGAGCAAUAGUGUCGUUAUAUUAUACAAAAUCAAAUUGGAAGAAUGAGAAAUAAUUAAAUCCUUACAGAAUGGCACGUCA
Molecule: long non-coding RNA, 479 nt
Organism: Diachasma alloeum
Lineage: Eukaryota; Metazoa; Arthropoda; Insecta; Hymenoptera; Braconidae
Exons: 2
Source: RefSeq, a predicted model, not a curated record